UACGAAGGGUGCAAGCGUUGUCCGGAAUUACUGGGCGUAAAGCGCACGUAGUCGGCUUUGCAAGUCGGGUGUGAAAUCCCCGGGCUCAACCUGGGAACUGCAUCCGAGACUGCAUUGCUAGAGUAUGGGAGAGGGAAGCGGAAUUUCUGGUGUAGCAGUGAAAUGCGUAGAUAUCAGAAGGAACAUCAGUGGCGAAGGCGGCUUCCUGGACCAAUACUGACGAUCAGGUGCGAAAGCGUGGGGAGCAAACAGG
Molecule: ribosomal RNA, 253 nt
Filed under: uncultured bacterium
Lineage: Bacteria
Description: partial 16S ribosomal RNA
Rfam family: Bacterial small subunit ribosomal RNA
Source: RNAcentral